UGGGGAAUAUUGCACAAUGGGCGGAAGCCUGAUGCAGCAACGCCGCGUGCGGGAUGACGGCCUUCGGGUUGUAAACCGCUUUCAGCAGGGACGAAGCGUGAGUGACGGUACCUGCAGAAGAAGCACCGGCCAACUACGUGCCAGCAGCCGCGGUGAUACGUAGGGUGCGAGCGUUGUCCGGAAUUAUUGGGCGUAAAGAGCUUGUAGGCGGUCUGUCGCGUCGGGUGUGAAAUCCCAGGGCUCAACCCUGGGUCUGCUUCCGAUACGGGCUGACUAGAGGGAGGUAGGGGAGAACGGAAUUCCUGGUGGAGCGGUGGAAUGCGCAGAUAUCAGGAGGAACACCGGUGGCGAAGGCGGUUCUCUGGACCUUUCCUGACGCUGAGAAGCGAAAGCGUGGGGAGCAAACAGG
This 409-nucleotide ribosomal RNA is filed under the name uncultured bacterium. Its description in RNAcentral is "bacterial SSU rRNA". It matches the Rfam family "Bacterial small subunit ribosomal RNA", at positions 355 to 776 of the family's 1533-position model. The record is from RNAcentral.